AGUGAACGCUGGAGGUAGGCCUAACACAUGCAAGUCGAACGGCAGCACAGGAGAGCUUGCUCUCUGGGUGGCGAGUGGCGGACGGGUGAGGAAUACAUCGGAAUCUACUCUGUCGUGGGGGUUAACGUAGGGAAACUUAAGCUAAUACCGCAUACGACCUACGGGUGAAAGCAGGGGAUCUUCGGACCUUGCGCGAUUGCAUGAGCCGAGGUCGGAUUAGCUAGUUGGCGGGGUAAAGGCCCACCAAGGCGACGAUCCGUAGCUGGUCUGAUAGGAUGAACAGCUCCGCGGGGACUGUGACACGGUCCAGACUCCUACGGGAGGCAGCAGUGGGGAAUAUGGGACAAUGGGCGCAAGCCUGUUCCAGCCAUACCGCGUGGGUGAAGAAGGCCUUCGGGUUGUAAAGCCCUUUUGUUGUGAAAGAAAUCCAGCUGGCUAAUACCCGGUUGGGAUGACGGUACCCAAAGAAUAAGCACCGGCUAACUUCGUGCCAGCCGCCGCCGUAA
This 506-nucleotide ribosomal RNA is filed under the name uncultured bacterium. RNAcentral describes it as "partial 16S ribosomal RNA". It matches the Rfam family "Bacterial small subunit ribosomal RNA", at positions 29 to 523 of the family's 1533-position model. The record is from RNAcentral.